RNAcentral lists this small RNA (398 nucleotides) under Arabidopsis thaliana (thale cress). RNAcentral describes it as "ATSL049210". The record is from RNAcentral. Lineage: Eukaryota; Viridiplantae; Streptophyta; Magnoliopsida; Brassicales; Brassicaceae.
UAUCCUUUUAAUAAAGGAAAUACGAAUUGAAAUUUUGUCUAAUUUGGCUUCAAUUUUGAUUUCAAUUUUAGAUUUUGUUCUUUGUUAUUCAAAAUCAUUAAGGGUAAUUUGGUCUUAACAAUCUUCUAAACUUUAUAUGAUCCGAUUCAAUCUAAACCGUUCAAUAAAAUUAAUUCCCUUCAAUCUAAACCGUUUAACAAAAAUAAGUAAAUAACAACUAAAAAAAAUUUAAACACAUUCCUCUUAUCACUAAAUAACAACAAAAAAACUUCCAAAUAUUAUUUAGUUAUGUUUGAUUAAAAAAUUUAUAUUUAUAAACCUAUUGCUCGCGGUAAACCGUGGGUGAAAUCCUAGUAUAUAGUUAUUACCGAUAGCAAAUACAGUACUUAUCAAAACCA